This is a long non-coding RNA of Oncorhynchus gorbuscha (pink salmon), 290 nucleotides long. RefSeq lists it as uncharacterized. The transcript has 3 exons. Lineage: Eukaryota; Metazoa; Chordata; Actinopteri; Salmoniformes; Salmonidae. The record is from RefSeq and is a predicted model, not a curated record.
CAUAAAUAACUACAAAUGCCAUGGAUGAUCUGGACGAGACUCAAGGCAACGCUGUGAGAACCCGAGGUUCCAUACCGUGUGGUCUUCCACCCGGUGGUAGCUGCCGCCAGGGUCCACUUCCACCCUCACUCACGUCAAACGCUUUGAGGGCAAUAUGUUUUCCUUCGCCAAGGAUGCGGUUGAGCUGAGUGGCCAGGUCUUUGUCCAUUGUGAUGUGGUCAUCUGUGAUGCCAGUAGUCCCUCUGGCGGCCCCUGUAGUGGACAAUGUGUGAAUCAGGACAACCCGAAAU